Molecule: long non-coding RNA, 3023 nt
Filed under: Sus scrofa (pig)
Lineage: Eukaryota; Metazoa; Chordata; Mammalia; Artiodactyla; Suidae
Description: lncRNA (ENSSSCG00005043500.1)
Source: RNAcentral
GGGUAUCGUGCUGGCUGCAGUUGGGGGGCCCCUGGUGGUGCUGAUUGUCCUCAUCGUCCUGGUCACAGUCCUGCAGCGGCACCAGCCAGCCUGGCUGCCCCGCCGCUUGCGCUCCUGGGCCUGGCUGCCCCUCUGGCUCCGUUCUCUGGAGCCCUGGGACCGCCUGGUGAGCCGCUGCUGUCCCUGCCAGGUCUGCAGCCCUCCUCAGGCCGUGGCCAAGGAGGCCCACUGCUAUGAGAACCCCGAGGUCCUGGCUUCCCAGCAGUUGUGAGGGGGUUGACCUCUGGGUGCCCUGGGGGAUCCUAGAAGCUGUGGACUUCUGACUCACUCGGGUGGCUUUCUUAGCAAAUAAACCAGACUCUACCCAGGCAUGGGUGGUCUUCUCUCUCCAACCAGGGCUGCCAGGGGGUGGAAGUGGGUUCCGCCGGCCUCCGGAGGGAUCUGGGGGUGUAGCAGCGCCGAUGCUGCCCCCCAGCGGAUACUUGGGGGCCUGCGUUGAGACCGCGAGGGAGCUGGCCGCCCUCGAGGGGCGCCCACGCAGCUGACUCCAGAUGGCCAGGGCUGUAGCUUAUCUCCUCUCGGCCCCUGGGAACAGAAGGCCCUAAGUAGCAGUAGGUCCGGAGCUCGGAGACAUCCUGCAGCAAGAAUCUGGGCUCCUGAGUGGCUGGAGCCCUUCCGCGUGGGGUCAGGAGGGACGGGGGAUUGGCUCUCCGGCGCCACUGCUCCGAGGACCCGCGCGGGCAGCUCCUGAGCCGUCCAGCCCCACUGUGGGCGGUCGGACUGGAGGACGUCAUGUGGCCCUGGCGGGGCCCGAGUCCCGCAGGUGCAUCGGGGCGUAGGGAGGGUUCAGGUAAGAACCGGGCGGCCCCGAGGCGCCCUACUCCUGCUCUCUCAUCCCCGUUCCAACCCCGCUCUCUUUCUGGGUGCAGGGCUGCAGGGCAGGAGGCUGCCGGAGUGGCGCGUGGGAGGGAACAGGCCCACGGGGGCCCGGUGGUGCCCAGCUAGUACGCAGUAUCCUGGGUCCGCCAGCUUCCACCUGGCCCACCGCCAGGGGCGCCACCUCACUCGCCUGGGCAGAGCAGCCCCCAGAUCUGCCCGGCCAAACCCAGCCAGGGACAGGUGUGAGCGGUCAGGAAGGUGAGACCAGGGGACCCCAGGAGCGAUGAUGGCCCCUUGACCACGUUUCACUUCUCCUCAGUCCCCUCCGUGUCCCCCUGCCCCCUCAGGCCCCUCUGUGCCCCCCAGCCCCUCAGGCCCCCUCCAUGGCCCCAGCCCUCUCCGUGUCCCCCAGCCUCUCUCAGCCCUCCCCAGGUCUCCUGAGUCUGGGGUUCACCCUGGCCUUGGGAAGAGUUAGCCACCUGUUCUGAGAGUCACAAGGGGCUUCAUGGGAGCAAGACCCCCGCGAUAGGCUCACACCCCCCUCCUUUUGGCUUCCCCCCAAUUUUGUGACCUCAGGAUACACCAGGGGUUCUGCCAUCAGCCUCCCUCCCAUGGAAGUCCCCUGCGGAGGGGCUGGGCCUGGCUAGUUCCCAUGGGACAUGGUGGGGGGCCCCCCCCAGUGGGAAGGCACUGAGAGGGGAGGUCGGCACUCCCGCGCCUCUCCUUCCGGGGCGGGUGAGGCCGCCCACAAAGGCUCACUGCUGGGUCCUUUGAGGCUGAGGAUCACUGUCUGCCUGCUGCUCCUGCCGGCGGUAACGCACCCUCCCGCUGGGACCAUGGCCACGGGUAAACAGAGCCGUCGUUGUGGAAGCUUCCAACAGCUGCAGGCUGGGGCGGGAGGGGCGGGUGCCCGGCACCCCCGCAGUCCCGGCCCAGGCUUCCCUGGGUCUGGCCUGCUCUGCCCUGCAUCCCACCAGGCCACAGACCCCCACUGGGCCCAGACACCUGGACCCGGGCCCUCUGCCCCACGCAAGGCCAGCUCUCCACGCUGUGGCAGAGGGCGGGGACCUGCAGGGCCUCCCCCCGCCAGCCCUGUGCAGCAGUGGCAACUGUGGUCCUUGGCUCAGAGCCACAGGGAGGCUCUGGCUGUCUUGUUCCCAGCCAGUGUUCACUUCCGAAAGGCAAGGCAGACAAUCUGGUGCCCCGGAGAGAGCUCUGGGGCUCUCUCCCGGGUGAGUGACACAACCUCUCUUGUUUCCUGUAAAGGAGCAGUGCCGCACUGGACUCCCAGGCCCAUGGGCACCAGUCACAGGGAGUGGGCCUGUACCAGUGGGGUCCCAGUCCAGGGGGCGGCUGAGGUGGGACGGUUUUGACAAACACCUCAAAGAGAAACCUCAGCAGGCUUUGCACAGCUCACUUGGAGAAAAAUCGGAGCUUCUCCCUUUCUCACCAAUUUGUGGAUUUGUGACAAUUUAAUGCUACCAGGCCCAAGAACCCCCCUGCUGCAGUGCCAGGGCCUUGCAGACUGCUGUUUGGGCAGCUAAGCAACUUUGCAGGGCACUGUGAGAACCCAGAAUGCCAGGCAGUGACCCUGCACACCCCAUAUGCCACAGCCUGUGGCCAGCAGAAACCAGACCCACCUUCCUGGACGGAGGGGGCUGGUCCCCAGGCCCCGCUGGGACUGACAAGCAGCACCUGGUACAUGCUGACUCACCCUCCAGGUCAGGACUGCAGCCCCGAGGAGCACAGCGGCAGCCCACCCUCAGGGACGGGAAGGCGGCAUCUAUGCCAGCAUGUGGCCUGACCCAACAGUGUCACCCACCACGAAGUGUACGGUGAUGUGUCGCAACCCUGCAGUGUGCCAUGACCCUGGGCAUUACGGAUUACAUGGAGAGGAGGGAAACGGUUCUCUCUAGAUAGAAAUGACCAGGUAUUGUCUUCAACGCCUUCGAGUUGGGGAGCAAAGGAGAGUAAGAACCUUACUGAGAAAAUCAGAACCUAGAGCCCCCCCCCCGCCCCCCCGUUUAGCACGGCAGGGAGACUGCACGGGAGGACCCAAGUAAUUCAUUGUGUUUUAAGAUGUUUCCCAAAUAUAACGCAACUGUACUCUUUCUAGAACGAUUGAUUAAAGGUGUGACCGCAUG